CGGACGGGUGAGUAACACGUGGAUAACCUACCUAUAAGACUGGGAUAACUUAGGGAAACCGGAGCUAAUACCGGAUAAUAUAUUGAACCGCAUGGUUCAAUAGUGAAAGACGGUUUUGCUGUCACUUAUAGAUGGAUCCGCGCUGCAUUAGCUAGUUGGUAAGGUAACGGCUUACCAAGGCAACGAUGCGUAGCCGACCUGAGAGGGUGAUCGGCCACACUGGAACUGAGACACGGUCCAGACUCCUACGGGAGGCAGCAGGC
RNAcentral lists this ribosomal RNA (263 nucleotides) under uncultured Staphylococcus sp. Its description in RNAcentral is "partial 16S ribosomal RNA". It matches the Rfam family "Bacterial small subunit ribosomal RNA", at positions 99 to 354 of the family's 1533-position model. Lineage: Bacteria; Bacillati; Bacillota; Bacilli; Caryophanales; Staphylococcaceae. The record is from RNAcentral.